AUACUUACCUGGCAGGGGAGACACUAUGACCAAGAAGGUGGUUCACCCAGAGCGAGGCUCAGCCAUUGUACGGCGACAGAGGGGGACCACCAUAAUUGGCCAAACGUCACGUCACGUACUUUCCUUAC
RNAcentral lists this small nuclear RNA (128 nucleotides) under Sinocyclocheilus anshuiensis. RNAcentral describes it as "U1 spliceosomal RNA (ENSSANG00000009463.1)". It matches the Rfam family "U1 spliceosomal RNA", at positions 1 to 93 of the family's 166-position model. From Rfam's summary of the family: U1 is a small nuclear RNA (snRNA) component of the spliceosome (involved in pre-mRNA splicing). Its 5' end forms complementary base pairs with the 5' splice junction, thus defining the 5' donor site of an intron. Lineage: Eukaryota; Metazoa; Chordata; Actinopteri; Cypriniformes; Cyprinidae. The record is from RNAcentral.